GCUAGCGCGCUAGCGGCAUUUGUUGCUUUCAUGCUUAUUGUUGUUGAAGUUCUUGUUUCAACAACCUGUGGAUUAAAUUACCUUCCUAUUAAAGAAAAAUUGCAAUAAUGGUACUAUAAAUGGUUGAUAAGAUUUUAUUUUGUGAUUUGUUACAAUAGUUUUAUAAUGCAAGUAUUGAAAUAUUGAUAAAAACAGCGAUUUGGAGGGAAAAUCGUUUUGUGGUGGUGUGGCAUCAGAUCAAGUUGUGAUGCCGGGACGGCUACCGCUAGCUCAUGCAUUAUUUCUUCCAACACAUAAUCGUGUCUUUAACCAUUAUCAUCAAGAAAUAAUCAAACUUGGUAAUUUUUUACUUUAACUACUUCUGGAUUUUCAAGCUGAAACUUACGCCAAACGAUUCCUCUGAGUGCCCUGAUGACCGUACACUAUGAAUUUUCUUGUGCAAAUUGAAAAUAACAUUACAAAAAUAAUUUUUAUUUUCACUCAUUUCACUUGAAUCGCCAUUUUUGUUGAUUUUAAGGGA
This is a long non-coding RNA of Tribolium castaneum (red flour beetle), 520 nucleotides long. RefSeq lists it as uncharacterized. The transcript is spliced from 3 exons. The record is from RefSeq and is a predicted model, not a curated record. NCBI's taxonomy places the organism in Eukaryota, Metazoa, Arthropoda, Insecta, Coleoptera, Tenebrionidae.